Molecule: ribosomal RNA, 490 nt
Filed under: uncultured bacterium
Lineage: Bacteria
Description: partial 16S ribosomal RNA
Rfam family: Bacterial small subunit ribosomal RNA
Source: RNAcentral
AUUGAACGCUGGCGGCAGGCCUAACACAUGCAAGUCGAACGGUAACAGGAAACAGCUUGCUGUUUCGCUGACGAGUGGCGGACGGGUGAGUAAUGUCUGGGAAACUGCCUGAUGGAGGGGGAUAACUACUGGAAACGGUAGCUAAUACCGCAUAACGUCGCAAGCCCAAAGAGGGGGACCUUCGGGCCUCUUGCCAUCGGAUGUGCCCGGAUGGGAUUAGCUAGUAGGUGGGGUAACGGCUCACCUAGGCGACGAUCCCUAGCUGGUCUGAGAGGAUGACCAGCCACACUGGAACUGAGACACGGUCCAGACUCCUACGGGAGGCAGCAGUGGGGAAUAUUGCACAAUGGGCGCAAGCCUGAUGCAGCCAUGCCGCGUGUAUGAAGAAGGCCUUCGGGUUGUAAAGUACUUUCAGCGGGGAGGAAGGGAGUAAAGUUAAUACCUUUGGUCAUUGACGUUACCCGCAGAAGAAGCACCGGCUAACUCCGUG